GGUUCUCGUAUGAUCAACGAAGUUAAGCAACAUCGAACCUGGUCAGUACCUAGAUGGGUAACCACUUGGGAAUACCAGGAGCUGUAAG
This is a non-coding RNA of Acanthosepion pharaonis, 88 nucleotides long. NCBI's taxonomy places the organism in Eukaryota, Metazoa, Mollusca, Cephalopoda, Sepiida, Sepiidae. The record is from the annotation of a GenBank genome assembly.